Long non-coding RNA from Gadus morhua (Atlantic cod), 1584 nucleotides. RefSeq lists it as uncharacterized. NCBI's taxonomy places the organism in Eukaryota, Metazoa, Chordata, Actinopteri, Gadiformes, Gadidae. The record is from RefSeq and is a predicted model, not a curated record. The transcript has 3 exons.
AUACUCACCUCGACUGGCUGCUGAGAUCACAUCACCCGUUCUUCAAAACCUGCACUGGCCCAAUGGUUAAAUACAGGAUUCCCUUUAAAAUACUAUUCACCACCAACAAAGCCAUUAAUAAACUCGCCCCUCCCCUCUCCUCCUCUCCCCCACCAAACCCCUAACCGAUUCCUCAAAUCUGGACGCUCCUACACUACAAAUGAUCAGGACAAAGCACCGGACCUCGGGCGACAGUUCCUUUGCAGCGACCACACCCUCUUUCUGCAUGCCCUCCCCUACCUCACCCGACAGGCUCGAAACCUGCCAUCAUUCAAACUGACCAUCAGAACCCAGCUUUUCAAGCUUGCGUGCACCGUUCCCUUCACUCCCCUCCCUCCGUUUCAAAAUUCAACUCGUUAAACGACCUAAAUGUCUUUUAUUCUUACAGGUACCCAUUAUAUGAUUUUAUCCUGUGUGUUUAAUGUGAGGUGACUUUCAAUACCUAGAAAAACACUACACUAUUUGAACGUUUUCAAAUAAAUAACAUUGGCGACAAUAAUACGAACCAACAUAAACAUAAAUUGUCUUUUGAAUGGUUGUUAUGGGUCCUAACACCUAUCAACUGAAUUUAUUUUCAAUAUAUAUUUCCAAUACAGUAACGCACAUGUUUCAAUAUUGUGUUUUUCUUUUACCCGCUGUGGUCAAGUUAUUCAUUUUUAUUCGCAACCCGAAAUUUUUAAUGACAAUAUUUAUAUGUGUGCAUAGCACAGACUAGUGAGCUUUCCGGUUCAAGAAAUAUCCCAGGGUUUGUUUCUGGACUCUACAACUUUUGCAGGGGGAUUCCUGUGGGGUAGUAGACCCUCUUUGCUGCUGUAGGUCAGAUAACCAACCAAAAGGGGGUGCAAUGCAAUUCCACUGUGUGAUGCAUGCAUUCUGCUGCUAUGGUAUGGUUGGCAAACAGAACAUCUGGAUUGACAACGACCAACAUAACGGAGCACUGUCUAAGUUGGUCAAGGACAAACCCCAAGAUUGGGACAAGCAUUUGGACGCUGUCAUGUUCGGCUUAAGAACCAAGCGCCAGUUGACUACCAAAUUUUCGCCAUAUUUUUUAAUGUUUGGCAGGGAGGCGAGGUACCCAUGUCAAGUACCUGCUGAAUACAGGGUUGACAGCAGUGUUGAACAAACCAUGUCUGUGGAAGAGGUCACUGAAGAGGCACUGAAGCUGUGAGACGUCCUUCAAAAUGCAAUCAAAAACAGUGACCUCAAACAAAGACAAUUAAAAAAUAAAGAGAAGGCCACCAACAUCUUCAAGAUAGGGAUGAAAGUGUGGAGGUUAAAUGUGAGGAGCCAGCAGAGGAAAGGGGGGAAAUUGGAUCCACAACUCCUUGGACCUUACAUAAUCUCCACUAUCCAGGGAAAAAAUGUUGAUCUUGUGGACAGCCGGGGAGUGGUGUUCCCCAAAAUCAAUUCUGAUCACCUAGCUCGGUACAUAGAGGAGAAGCCUAGGGUUCCACAUAAGUGCGCUGUUCCAUCCUCCACUGUGCCCCCCUCCACCUCAACUGUGCCCACUUCCCCUGUGCCCCCCUCCACCUCAAUUGUGCCCAC